GCGGGUAACAAAAAAAUAAAAAGAGCGCGGAGUUGAAUUUUUAAGUUGAAGUUGGGAGCCUUUAUCACAAAACCUUAUCACAGACUAGGCCGCCAAAGAAAAAAAAUUCUCUCUCUCUCGACAGAAAAUCCCAGCAACUCUUCGAAUUCGAUCAUCUCUUCCCCAGGGGGUGUAGUGAAUGGGUUAGGCGUCGUUCUCAAUCGUGUGUCGACCUUCCCGUCACCUACAUCAAAAUCGGUUCUCCCUAUACCCUUUUCUUCUUUCUAUUUCAAUCUUUGAUGACUCAAAAGUGAAGAAGAUGUAUUUCUCUCCCACGAAAUUUUAUUAAAUUUGGUUCAAAAAAUGAAAUCAAAGAUUAGAUUACAUGAACUUGGAUCUGGGUUUUUCCGUAAUGGUUCUAAGAUUAAUGCUUUUAGUUAAUUACUUGUUUUACUUGACAACAAUCUGCAGAUCUGUAUGAUGGUAAUACGUCUAUCCUUAGAUAUGGUAUGGUUUUUGUUCUUGAAGAUGGUGUAUAAGUACUAAUUCACCCACUUUAGCCUUUUCCUUUCAUUAUAUAUAGUUGCCCAUAUUAAUAAUUGACCAUUGCUUCUGAAUAUGACUCACAGUGUUGUUAUAGCAAUACUAUUAUGAAGCUUUUGAGCUAAAACUUUAUUCCUAACAAGUUCAUUUAGACUUGGAUAACAAAGUAGCUACCUUGUCAGAACAGAGGUAAUAUUCAACUAAAAAUCUGCAGUUUUACUUUUCUCCUAUGGUAGUGGCUGACCAAUUCGCAACUUUCCAUCAUACAUGCACAAGUCAUUGUUCAUGUAUUGUUGGUGAACAUAUGCUUCAAAUUCUAUAGUAGAAAUACUUUAUACUGCAUCAAAACUUUUUUGCUGAGAGCCUUGGUAUUUGUAUAAUAUAUAGAUCAAAUAUAUAAUUGAAGGCCAGGAAACAAUGGUGAAAUAUUUUCACACUUUUUCAUAUAAAAAAAAUAUCUCAUACUUGCUUCAACACUGAUGGGCAUUAAAAUUGAGCAAAACUGAUGCUAGCUAAUGAGAUCAUUUUUGUCUUUCUUUUAGUUGGCAUCUACGAAUUGCAUUCAACAAACAAGAACAACAGAAUAGCAUAACCUUUCACUGGUUGGGUAAUCUUGGUUUUGUCCUAUGGAACUAUUUUCAUUGUAGCUCUUAUUUAAUCUAUCUGCUGAUCCGUAUUUUUUUCUUCUAUUAAUUAGCUCCUUGUGGUUGAAGUUCAUUCCCCUGUGUUAUUAGUUUCUUUGUGCAUAUAUAUAAUUGCUCCAAAUACAAACCACCUAUGUUGGUAAAGCCCAAGUGGAACUUUUUGAUUUAUAAUGUCUUAUUCAUCUUAAACAUGCAUUUCAAUGCAGGUAUUGAUCCCAAAAUGAGUCGAGACCUAGUAUCUCCUCAGGUUAUCAAGCAAUCAGGCUGCACAAUCAGGGGAGAUGCUAGGUGCAAUUGAACGCUUUGAAAUGGAGUACAAAAGCAUUAAAAAAGGUUGGGACUUGGGAGUGAAAGAAUUAUGGGAUCAAAUGGUUAAGAUGCGAACUGAGACAACCCUUCCUGAUGGGACUCGAACUAUGAAUGAUGAUGAAAAUGUGCAAAGGUUCUUGGAGUAAAAUCAGGCUACAUCAAGGGUUGUGGUUUAGGCCCUAGGCCUCCACCAUCUAGCACUUCUCGAUCGUCACAAGAUGAAAUGUCUGAGAAGAAUAAAGAGUUAGUAGAUAAACUUGAAGAGACCCAAGAUACUAUAAAGGCUCAACAAGAAAAGAUUGAUGCACAAAACGUGCUGAUCCAAGAAUUGCAGGAGCAAGGCAAAAAGUUUGAGCAGUUCAUGGCAACCUUUAUGAACCAACAAGCAUCAAGUUAGUUAUGCAUAUCUAUGAUUUAGUAUCAGUUAAACAAGUUCAUUGAUUUUUGGAUCA
Molecule: long non-coding RNA, 1927 nt
Organism: Rosa rugosa (rugosa rose)
Lineage: Eukaryota; Viridiplantae; Streptophyta; Magnoliopsida; Rosales; Rosaceae
Exons: 4
Source: RefSeq, a predicted model, not a curated record